RNAcentral lists this ribosomal RNA (305 nucleotides) under uncultured bacterium. RNAcentral's name for it is "bacterial SSU rRNA". It matches the Rfam family "Bacterial small subunit ribosomal RNA", at positions 335 to 658 of the family's 1533-position model. The record is from RNAcentral.
UACCUACGGGGGGCAGCAGUGGGGAAUAUUGCACAAUGGGGGAAACCCUGAUGCAGCGACGCCGCGUGAAGGAAGAAGUAUUUCGGUAUGUAAACUUCUAUCCGCAGGGAAGAAAAUGACGGUACCUGACUAAGAAGCCCCGGCUAACUACGUGCCAGCAGCCGCGGUAAUACGUAGGGGGCAAGCGUUAUCCGGAUUUACUGGGUGUAAAGGGAGCGUAGGCGGUGCAGCAAGUCAGAAGUGAAAGCCCGGGGCUCAACUCCGGGACUGCUUUUGAAACUGUAUUUCUUGAGUGCUGGAGAGGG